UCGGAUCGCAGCCUGCAACCCGGCUGCGUGAAGCUGGAAUCGCUAGUAAUCGCGGAUCAGAAUGCCGCGGUGAAUACGUUCCCGGGUCUUGUACACACCGCCCGUCACACCAUGGGAGCCUGGAAUGCCCGAAGCCGGUGGCCGAACCGAGAGGGCGGAGCCGCCUAAGGCAGGCCCGGUGACUGGGGUGAAGUCGUAACAAGGUAGC
This 208-nucleotide ribosomal RNA is filed under the name uncultured bacterium. Its description in RNAcentral is "partial 16S ribosomal RNA". It matches the Rfam family "Bacterial small subunit ribosomal RNA", at positions 1293 to 1500 of the family's 1533-position model. The record is from RNAcentral.